UGGGCCUGGUUCAGGCCCAUUUCAGGCCUCUAUACAUGCACAGAGGCAUAAAUUGGGCCAGAACUGGACCUGGACUGCCUGCUGCAGGGGGGGUGGGGGCGCUGCCACCCCCAACAACCCCAAAUCACCCCGAGACUGCUGCAGUCACUGGCAGUGGCAAACUGAAGUACAGGAGCUAUGGAACUGCUGAAUUAUAAGAAGCUGGAGAACUUGAAAGAAGUGUCAUUUUGGUUGCUCAUCAACCUCCUCUCAUUUCCUACCAUACCCACAGGCUAACAUGGUGGCGGGGGGGGCACUUCAAAGUAACACUUGAGUGCCUUAUUCAGCUGCGAGCGACAGCACACCACGCAAAAGUUUUCAUUUCUUGCUGUUCGCACAAGGCAGAUCCCUUCUGAGACUUGACUGCAACUUUGAUCUUGACAGCAAGAAGUUUUUCACUUCACAACAGGAGCAGGAUGGAACAAAAGGAGGAAAAAACACAACACUGCAGUGUCUGAUAACCUUGAAAUUAAAAUUUGAGAAGAAAGAAGUCAUGCAAAUAAAACUCUCGCCCUAUUGUCCCUGCUCCUCAUGAUCAAUACACAGUAUCUCUGCAGAUCUAAUUAGUAGGCACUAGAAAGGGCCUUCCUCAUUAAUCAACUAUUUAGCGAUUUCCUAUUAAAA
This is a long non-coding RNA of Hemicordylus capensis (graceful crag lizard), 663 nucleotides long. RefSeq lists it as uncharacterized. The transcript has 3 exons. The record is from RefSeq and is a predicted model, not a curated record. Lineage: Eukaryota; Metazoa; Chordata; Lepidosauria; Squamata; Cordylidae.